This 81-nucleotide ribosomal RNA is filed under the name Escherichia coli. RNAcentral describes it as "partial 16S ribosomal RNA". It matches the Rfam family "Bacterial small subunit ribosomal RNA", at positions 1 to 79 of the family's 1533-position model. The record is from RNAcentral. Lineage: Bacteria; Pseudomonadati; Pseudomonadota; Gammaproteobacteria; Enterobacterales; Enterobacteriaceae.
UUAAAUUGAAGAGUUUGAUCAUGGCUCAGGUUGAACGCUGGCGGCAGGCCUAACACAUGCAAGUCGAACGGUAACAGGAAA